UUUUUUUUAUGCUAGCGUGAAAUAUUGUAAAUACAUGUAAAUACCUUUUGAAAACAAGCUCACAUGCUUUUGAAAAUUCGAAAGACAGGUUUGUGGUAAAUCAAUGAGCAAGCAUGAUAAUUUUGAUUUGUAGAGCUUUUUGUCAACUUUUGAUUAAUGUUUAAAAUAUGCUUAGGAACUCAACAUGUUCUUGAAUUGUGUUGUUUGUCCUAAGAUGAUUCUCAUUAUUUUUGUUAAACAUGAUUGAAGCUUGUGUUAUCCAAUCUAGCCGGGUGAGAAUGUGUGAACUUUCCAUUGUUUACAUAAAUAUUUGAGAGCCAGCAAUUGUGUAUGUUCAUUUGAUUUUAACUUAAUCUUGUUGUCAUUGAUAUGUUUGAUGUUGUGGAUAUGAUCAAGGCCUUGUUUCUUUUUGAGUGAUAACUACUUGGCCAAAUUUAACCUACCUUGUGAGAUAGUGAUCUUUUGUGUCCCCUUUUGAGCCUUAAAUUUUGAAAAAUUGUUUGUUUUUAUAAACCCUGAAACCAAAAGAAAAACAACUACUCUACCCUUGUCUUAGGAUAAGAGAGCAAUUGUAUUUCAUUAAGGGUUAUGUCAAGAUUCAAGUUGGGGAGA
Molecule: long non-coding RNA, 612 nt
Filed under: Trifolium pratense (red clover)
Lineage: Eukaryota; Viridiplantae; Streptophyta; Magnoliopsida; Fabales; Fabaceae
Description: long non-coding RNA (TPRA_LNC001343)
Source: RNAcentral